RNAcentral lists this ribosomal RNA (370 nucleotides) under uncultured bacterium. RNAcentral describes it as "bacterial SSU rRNA". It matches the Rfam family "Bacterial small subunit ribosomal RNA", at positions 152 to 507 of the family's 1533-position model. The record is from RNAcentral.
AAAACAGAUGACUAAUACCGCAAUAAAACCUAACACCGCAUGGUGUAGGGUUGAAAGAUGGUUUCGGCUAUCACUUUAGGAUGGACCCGCGGUGCAUUAGUUAGUUGGUGAGGUAAAGGCUCACCAAGGCCGUGAUGCAUAGCCGACCUGGGAGGGUAAUCGGCCACACUGGGACUGAGACACGGCCCAGACUCCUACGGGAGGCAGCAGUAGGGAAUCUUCCACAAUGGACGAAAGUCUGAUGGAGCAACGCCGCGUGAGUGAAGAAGGUUUUCGGAUCGUAAAACUCUGUUGUUGGAGAAGAAUGUAUCUGAUAGUAACUGAUCAGGUAGUGACGGUAUCCAACCAGAAAGCCACGGCUAACUACGUG